CAUAGCAGCGCAUCCCUUGCACGGGGGAAGUGAAGCAGGUGAUCGAAAAGAUAUUCAUGGGGCUUGUUCAGUAGCGCAGGUGAGGAUCAUGAAGUUCCUUCUCGUAAUUGUGUUUUUAUAUUUGCGGCUGGUGCUGGCAUCGAGAGAUAAACAUGGCUCUGAUAUUACGCUGUGGAUUGAUGAAAAACAGGUCAAAGAAUUUAGCGGUUUUCCAAUGGAGAUCUUUGCCAUUGUGGAUGGAGUUGUAUUGCCGUACAUCUUAGACCCCAACUUCGAAAACUACUUACCUGUCAUUCCAGCAGAAGUCGAAAGCGUGAAUUUCACGUGGCGGUCUGGAGAUCAAAAGUAUUACUACGAUUUCGAUCAACUGAAAUCCUUUAAUGAAAGUAUCCUUCGAGACCCUGUAGUAUCUAUUGAAACUCGAGGAAAAGUACCGAGGAAGCCUAGAGUUUUUCAGGUGUUCAUAACAUGCCGUGGAAACCAGAGCGGAGUGGGAUCAUUUGGUAUCGGCUUGAGGAUACAGAACGACAGGGGACUCUUUUUACCAGGAACGCCAUUAAGGCUUCGAUUACAGAAGCAGUGCGCCGAUCAUGGUCCUGAUCCGGAAUGUGACAAGAAAUGUGCCAACGGAGGCAGAUGUAAUCAGCAUCGAAUUUGUGAAUGCCCGAAAGGUUAUAUGGGGAAAUAUUGUCAUUCGGCCCUGUGUUAUCCACAAUGUAUGAAUGGAGGCACUUGCGUUUCACCUGGAUUAUGCGCUUGCAGCGAUGGCUACCAAGGACCUCAUUGUGAAGGCGGAAUGUGCCUUGAAAAAUGCUUAAAUGGCGGUAAAUGUAUAAAUAAAGACACUUGCGAGUGUAGAAGAGGAUAUUAUGGACUUCGAUGUGAAUACAGUAAAUGUAGUGCUGUUCCAUGUCUAAACGGAGGUCGUUGUGUCGGAAUAAAUAAAUGCCGGUGUAAGAAGGGAUACGUUGGUGCUCAAUGUGAAGGACUGCUUGACAGACCAAGUCUUGAAAAACAUGCAAUACUCGUCAAAUAAAAUUGCCUACUUCUCCUCUUCUGAUGGCUGUGGUGUCUUCUUCACUUUAUGGCACUUGAAGGCCAAAAAGAAGGCGGCAAAGAAAGCUUUUACAUUAAACAUUAAUUCUAAUACACUGGAUUCAUCAACUAACUGCAUUACAAGGCAUCGCAUGGUGGUGUUACAAGCAAAAGGCGUUCAACUGAAUUUUCAAAGUGGGAAGGCUUUGCCACUUAAAAAUGUGCCAAAUCUGCUCAUCAAGUUUCACAGUGAUGAAUAAUAUGCUGAAUUUGAUAUGCUAUUGCCGAAUUCAUUGUUUAUGAUAUUAUUCCAAUAAGAUCAUAUGAUGCAUGUUCUCUGAGCGACAGCUUUCCGAAAAGCAAAAUUGGAUCAUUGUCACCCCCCUUUUGAACAUUUGUAUAUACAUAUAUUAUGACAAUUUCUCGCAGCAAGACUGUUUGGGACAUACUACUCUAAUGCGAGUUUUACAGAAAAGUAUGAAUUUUAAUUACAUCCUUUAUAUACGUUUCAUGCAUAUAUGCGGGAAAAAAUGCUACUAAAAGCUGUUUUUCACUUU
RNAcentral lists this unclassified non-coding RNA (1592 nucleotides) under Stegodyphus dumicola. Its description in RNAcentral is "protein shifted-like, transcript variant X1". The record is from RNAcentral. Lineage: Eukaryota; Metazoa; Arthropoda; Arachnida; Araneae; Eresidae.